ACGGAAGGCAGCAGCUAAGAAUAUUCCGCAAUGGACGAAAGUCUGACGGAGCGACGCCGCGUGGAUGAUGAAGGUCGGAAGAUUGUAAAAUCCUUUUAAGCAUGAAGAAUAAGCAUUGUAGGGAAUGACAGUGUGGUGACAGUACAAUUUGAAUAAGCAACGGCUAAUUACGUGCCAGCAGCCGCGGUAACACGUAAGUUGCGAGCGUUGUUCGGAAUUAUUGGGCGUAAAGGGCAUGUAGGCGGUUGUAAAAGCUUGGUGUGAAAUCUAUGGGCUCAACCCAUAAACUGCAUUGAGAACUGUACGACUAGAGUUACUAAGGGGAAACUAGAAUUCCAGGUGUAGGGGUGGAAUCUGUAGAUAUCUGGAAGAAUACCAAUGGCGAAGGCAAGUUUCUAGUAGAUAACUGACGCUGAGGUGCGAAGGUGCGGGGAGCAAACAGGAUUAGAUACCCUGGUA
RNAcentral lists this ribosomal RNA (459 nucleotides) under uncultured Treponema sp. Its description in RNAcentral is "bacterial SSU rRNA". It matches the Rfam family "Bacterial small subunit ribosomal RNA", at positions 341 to 792 of the family's 1533-position model. The record is from RNAcentral. Lineage: Bacteria; Pseudomonadati; Spirochaetota; Spirochaetia; Treponematales; Treponemataceae.